UACAGAGGUCCCAAGCGUUUGUUCGGAUUCAUUGGGCGUAAAGGGUGCGUAGGUGGCGCUGUAAGUCGGGUGUGAAAUUUCGGAGCUUAACUCCGAAACUGCAUUCGAUACUGCGGUGCUUGAGGACUGGAGAGGAGACUGGAAUUCAUGGUGUAGCAGUGAAAUGCGUAGAGAUCAUGAGGAAGACCAGUGGCGAAGGCGGGUCUCUGGACAGUUCCUGACACUGAGACACGAAGGCCAGGGGAGCAAACGGG
This 254-nucleotide ribosomal RNA is filed under the name uncultured bacterium. RNAcentral's name for it is "partial 16S ribosomal RNA". It matches the Rfam family "Bacterial small subunit ribosomal RNA", at positions 524 to 776 of the family's 1533-position model. The record is from RNAcentral.